Long non-coding RNA from Sitophilus oryzae (rice weevil), 376 nucleotides. RefSeq lists it as uncharacterized. The record is from RefSeq and is a predicted model, not a curated record. NCBI's taxonomy places the organism in Eukaryota, Metazoa, Arthropoda, Insecta, Coleoptera, Curculionidae. The transcript has 2 exons.
AAUCUAUCUUUCUACAGCGCGACAGAGCGACGAAAACAAAAUUAUUUGAAUCGAUCUCGCCGCUCGAUCUAACCGCUCGAGCAGAUCGCUUUACUAUGCUCGCACGUACUUGUCUUUACAGGUUUGUUUUGGACGCGCUAUCCUCGUCGCUCCACUAUGUUCUUAGCCAUAAGCUGGAUUUAUAAACUCGGGAGUUGAGGUUCAGUUGCCGUUCAAAAUGUUCAACGCUAUGAAAUGAACGCGCGCAUUUAUAAAGCCAGUUGGUCGAAAAGUUGGCAGUUCGUUUUACUUUCAGCGGAGUUCAAAGAUGGUCAAUGUUUAUGUCGGCAGUUGCGGGCAGUUGGCGACCGCUGGCGACGUUCGGCGACAGCCAAUG